Sorex araneus (European shrew) is the source of this 221-nucleotide small nucleolar RNA. Its record names the gene U3. It matches the Rfam family "Small nucleolar RNA U3". Rfam says of the family: Small nucleolar RNAs (snoRNAs) are involved in the processing and modification of rRNA in the nucleolus. Lineage: Eukaryota; Metazoa; Chordata; Mammalia; Eulipotyphla; Soricidae. The record is from Ensembl.
AAGACUCCUUUCAGGGAUCAUUUCUGUAGUUCGUUACUAGAGAAGUUUCCCUGAUCAUGUAGAGCUUCCGAGCCCACGAGGAGGAGCCAGAGCAUCUGCUCCUGAGCAUGAAGCCAGUUCCAGGUGUUGCUUUUGCAACCUUUUUUUUUUAAAAAAAAACAUUGAGGAUCAUUCUUCUCUUCCCUUAGAAGAGGGAGAGGGAGAGGAAGCAGUUCGAGUGG